AUUAUUUAUUAGCCUUUUGGCUACCAUAAAGUGUAGUAUAGGUUCUAAUCAAUUUAAUAUUCUAAAUGUCCUAUACCUGAAGACAAUAUAUUAUUUAAAUUUUUGGAGCAGGGAGAUGGAAUGGGAGAUUGUUUCAUCCAAUCCAUGCAUUGACCUGGUAUUACAGUGCCACCAGGAAUGGUGCAUCCCCU
Tupaia belangeri (northern tree shrew) is the source of this 191-nucleotide small nuclear RNA. Its record names the gene U2. It matches the Rfam family "U2 spliceosomal RNA". Rfam says of the family: U2 is a small nuclear RNA (snRNA) component of the spliceosome (involved in pre-mRNA splicing). NCBI's taxonomy places the organism in Eukaryota, Metazoa, Chordata, Mammalia, Scandentia, Tupaiidae. The record is from Ensembl.